CGGGGGAUAACUAUUGGAAACGAUAGCUAAUACCGCAUAAGAGCAGUUGUUGCAUGACAGCUGUUUAAAAGGUGCAAUUGCACCACUACCAGAUGGACCUGCGUUGUAUUAGCUAGUUGGUGAGGUAACGGCUCACCAAGGCGACGAUACAUAGCCGACCUGAGAGGGUGAUCGGCCACACUGGGACUGAGACACGGCCCAGACUCCUACGGGAGGCAGCAGUAGGGAAUCUUCGGCAAUGGGGGCAACCCUGACCGAGCAACGCCGCGUGAGUGAAGAAGGUUUUCGGAUCGUAAAGCUCUGUUGUAAGAGAAGAACGAGUGUGAGAGUGGAAAGUUCACGCUGUGACGGUAUCUUACCAGAAAGGGACGGCUAACUACGUGCCAGCAGCCGCGGUAAUACGUAGGUCCCGAGCGUUAUCCGGAUUUAUUGGGCGUAAAGCGAGCGCAGGCGGUUAGAUAAGUCUGAAGUUAAAGGCUGUGGCUUAACCAUAGUACGCUUUGGAAACUGUUUAACUUGAGUGCAAGAGGGGAGAGUGGAAUUCCAUGUGUAGCGGUGAAAUGCGUAGAUAUAUGGAGGAACACCGGUGGCGAAAGCGGCUCUCUGGCUUGUAACUGACGCUGAGGCUCGAAAGCGUGGGGAGCAAACAGGAUUAGAUAUCCUGGUAGUCCACGCCGUAAACGAUGAGUGCUAGGUGUUAGACCCU
RNAcentral lists this ribosomal RNA (706 nucleotides) under uncultured Streptococcus sp. RNAcentral's name for it is "bacterial SSU rRNA". It matches the Rfam family "Bacterial small subunit ribosomal RNA", at positions 137 to 831 of the family's 1533-position model. The record is from RNAcentral. Lineage: Bacteria; Bacillati; Bacillota; Bacilli; Lactobacillales; Streptococcaceae.